This 412-nucleotide ribosomal RNA is filed under the name uncultured bacterium. RNAcentral describes it as "bacterial SSU rRNA". It matches the Rfam family "Bacterial small subunit ribosomal RNA", at positions 8 to 419 of the family's 1533-position model. The record is from RNAcentral.
AGAGUUUGAUCCUGGCUCAGAAUGAACGCUGGCGGCGUGCCUAACACAUGCAAGUCGGAUGUGCCCGCAAGGGUGCAUGGCAGACGGGUGAGUAACGCGUGGGGAAUCUACCUCUUUGUGGGGAAUAACGCUCCGAAAGGAGUGGUAAUACCGCAUGAGAUCCAUGGCUGGAAUGUUGUGGAUGAAACCUGGGGACCUUCGGGCCUGGGGCAAGGAGAGGAUCCUGCGUCUGAUUAGCUAGUUGGUGAGGUAACGGCCCACCAAGGCAACGAUCAGUAGCCGGCCUGAGAGGGUGAUCGGCCACACUGGAACUGAGACACGGUCCAGACUCCUACGGGAGGCAGCAGUGGGGAAUUUUGCGCAAUGGGCGAAAGCCUGACGCAGCAACGCCGCGUGGGUGAUGAAGGUCUUC